GUCGGGUGGUGGUUUGAACAGGAUGAUGCUUGUCCUGGCAUCAAGCGUUCACUAAUUUUCUUUCAGAUCGAGCUUGGUGACUCUUGACUCGUUUUGACUCGCGUUUCGUGCAUUCCUUGUGAUGUUUGAGCAAAUUAUCCGAGUGAGAAUUUUGGACGCGCGGCGAAAGAAACCGGAAGCGUUGGAUCUACAAAGGCCCUGGUUGGAUCAAACCCCACACAAGGACUUUGUCAAAACGUCACCAUCAAGGACAAGUCAUCUCAGCCCACGAGCAGUGCAUAAAGAUCUGUGGCAUGCCUCACGACCCUACAGCAACGAGAUUGAUACAUACGAGUCCAAUUCAUUCACUGAAGAUGUUAAUUCUGACUCUAUUGUAAAGAAAGCACCUGGUCUGAAAAUGAAAACGAACAUUGAUGCUAUUAAGGAAGAGCUGGCCAAAGCUGAGGCCCUGUUGGGAAGUCUGGAAAGAAGUGUGAGCUCGGCGAGCUUCACCAGCCCUCCAGCCAGCCCAUGUACCAGUUUCAUUCACACUGCUGGAAGACGCUGGAGCAACACCUCGAGUCCGACUACGAGCUCUGUUGGGAGUCCCUAUAAGUCAACAACAAGCCCAAGCAACAGCCCUACCAUGAGUCCUUUGGAUAAGGUCAUGACAUUUCCUCACAAGUCAGAUCUCUGUGAGAAAGCUUCCACCUUUUCUGGAAGUUCUUCAAGCAUUGGGACCCAGUUAUCAAACUCUUCUGCCUUGCUCAUCCCCAGUACAACUUCCCAUCAGGUUCAAAGUAAUAUAUCUUCACUCCUGCAGCGUAAUGCUGGAAGUGUUUGGGUUCAAAGCCUUCCGUCUCCCACUGGUCGACUGACUUUUCUUACUAACACCAUUGGCAGCACCAGGGAGGCAAAGUUUGCACAGUCUGGUCAGCUGUUUCGCCCACAGGCUUCACCAAUGAUUAGGACAAUACCCACCACCCAAAUCCAUGAGAAAGAGCAACAACCCCUCUCUACCCAUCUGUACUCAUCUUUGCAGCAGCAAUAA
This 1030-nucleotide long non-coding RNA is filed under the name Eptatretus burgeri (inshore hagfish). RNAcentral's name for it is "lncRNA (ENSEBUG00000017301.1)". Lineage: Eukaryota; Metazoa; Chordata; Myxini; Myxiniformes; Myxinidae. The record is from RNAcentral.